UCCCUGAUAGCUCAGUUGGUAAAGAAUCUGCCUGCAAUGCAGGAGACCCUGGUUUGAUCCCUGGGCUGGGAC
This 72-nucleotide transfer RNA is filed under the name Ovis aries (sheep). It matches the Rfam family "tRNA". Rfam says of the family: Transfer RNA (tRNA) molecules are approximately 80 nucleotides in length. Their secondary structure includes four short double-helical elements and three loops (D, anti-codon, and T loops). The record is from Rfam by way of RNAcentral. Lineage: Eukaryota; Metazoa; Chordata; Mammalia; Artiodactyla; Bovidae.